AAAUACUAAUGCCUAACUAUUCAACUCCUGAAUGAUGUGGUGAAAUUCUUUCAUGCUGCUUUCGCUUUUCCAGAAUGAAAAUUGACCUGCCCAGUGUCACCACCCAAUUUAUAUCAGUGGAUGCAGGAAUAAAGGCUUGACUGCAGGCUUCUUUAGGGUAAGGGGAAUUGUGUGUAGUACUGUUGUGAAUCUGCAGGUGGCAGCCUAUCACAUCUACCUCUUUUAGCUGUUGUUGGGCGUGAGUGUGUGUGUGUGUGUGUGUGUGUAUUAGUUAAAACAUGACCCAGCAGAAGAGUGUGUUAGAAGGACAGGAAGGUGGAAUUUAAAAAAAAAAAAGAAAGAAAGAAAGAGAAAAAAGGAGUAGUCGCCACGGCACCACCUCAGCGCAGUCCAAUCCCAUGACUCAGCCGGAUACGGACAUAACUCGGGAUAAAUCUGUAAUGUG
Molecule: long non-coding RNA, 445 nt
Organism: Pygocentrus nattereri (red-bellied piranha)
Lineage: Eukaryota; Metazoa; Chordata; Actinopteri; Characiformes; Serrasalmidae
Source: Ensembl